This 433-nucleotide ribosomal RNA is filed under the name uncultured bacterium. Its description in RNAcentral is "partial 16S ribosomal RNA". It matches the Rfam family "Bacterial small subunit ribosomal RNA", at positions 29 to 507 of the family's 1533-position model. The record is from RNAcentral.
AACGAACGCUGGCGGCAUGCCUAACACAUGCAAGUCGAACGAGACCUUCGGGUCUAGUGGCGCACGGGUGCGUAACGCGUGGGAACCUGCCCUUAGGUUCGGAAUAAAUCCCCGAAAGGGGUGCUAAUAACGGAUAAUGUCUUCGGACCAAAGAUUUAUCGCCUUUGGAUGGGCCCGCGUUGGUUUAGAUAGUUGGUAGGGUAAAAGCCCACCAAGGCGACGAUCCAUAGCUGGUCUGAGAGGAUGAUCAGCCACACUGGGACUGAGACACGGCCCAGACUCCUACGGGAGGCAGCAGUGGGGAAUAUUGGACUAUGGGCGAGAGCCUGAUCCAGCAAUGCCGCGUGAGUGAUGAAGGCCUUAGGGUUGUAAAGCUCUUUUACCCGGGAUGAUAAUGACAGUACCGGGAGAAUAAGCUCCGGCUAACUCCGUG